Molecule: ribosomal RNA, 465 nt
Filed under: uncultured Klebsiella sp.
Lineage: Bacteria; Pseudomonadati; Pseudomonadota; Gammaproteobacteria; Enterobacterales; Enterobacteriaceae
Description: bacterial SSU rRNA
Rfam family: Bacterial small subunit ribosomal RNA
Source: RNAcentral
CCUACGGGCGGCUGCAGUGGGGAAUAUUGCACAAUGGGCGCAAGCCUGAUGCAGCCAUGCCGCGUGUGUGAAGAAGGCCUUCGGGUUGUAAAGCACUUUCAGCGGGGAGGAAGGCGGUGAGGUUAAUAACCUCAUCGAUUGACGUUACCCGCAGAAGAAGCACCGGCUAACUCCGUGCCAGCAGCCGCGGUAAUACGGAGGGUGCAAGCGUUAAUCGGAAUUACUGGGCGUAAAGCGCACGCAGGCGGUCUGUCAAGUCGGAUGUGAAAUCCCCGGGCUCAACCUGGGAACUGCAUUCGAAACUGGCAGGCUAGAGUCUUGUAGAGGGGGGUAGAAUUCCAGGUGUAGCGGUGAAAUGCGUAGAGGUCUGGAGGAAUACCGGUGGCGAAGGCGGCCCCCUGGACAAAGACUGACGCUCAGGUGCGAAAGCGUGGGGAGCAAACAGGAUUAGAUACCCGUGUAGUC